ACGAACGCUGGCGGCGUGCUUAACCCAUGCAAGUCGAACGGAAAGGCCCUGCUUUUGUGAGGUGCUCGAGUGGCGAACGGGUGAGUAACACGUGAGUAACCUGCCCUUGACUUUGGGAUAACUUCAGGAAACUGGGGCUAAUACCGGAUAGGAGCUCCUGCUGCAUGGUGGGGGUUGGAAAGUUUCGGCGGUUGGGGAUGGACUCGCGGCUUAUCAGCUUGUUGGUGGGGUAGUGGCUUACCAAGGCUUUGACGGGUAGCCGGCCUGAGAGGGUGACCGGCCACAUUGGGACUGAGAUACGGCCCAGACUCCUACGGGAGGCAGCAGUGGGGAAUAUUGCACAAUGGGCGGAAGCCUGAUGCAGCAACGCCGCGUGCGGGAUGACGGCCUUCGGGUUGUAAACCGCUUUCGCCUGUGACGAAGCGUGAGUGACGGUAAUGGGUAAAGAAGCACCGGCUAACUACGUG
This 467-nucleotide ribosomal RNA is filed under the name uncultured bacterium. RNAcentral's name for it is "partial 16S ribosomal RNA". It matches the Rfam family "Bacterial small subunit ribosomal RNA", at positions 29 to 507 of the family's 1533-position model. The record is from RNAcentral.